UGCUUGAAAAAUGAAGGGAUAAAAAUUGGGGAAAAUGGUUUUCUUCUCGCCAGAACUAUUGGCCGCUCUGUUUAUCAAAUGGGCUGGCUCCGCUUUUGAUCGACACGGUACCUCUAAUAUGGGAGCAACGCCUUUCCAGCAUCGGUUAUGCAUUUCUUCCCGAUUGAUUCGAAAUUUCUGGAUGUGGAUCCAUGCAAGAAAUUUCUCUUGAUAGUGUCCCACGAUGUCGGCCAGCACUUGCAACAUCAGUAUGCUACUCGUUUAGAAGCUUCAUUGUUGCACGAACGAAGUAUUUCUAGCCAUUGGUUUCCUGGACAAUGGGAAAACGUCGCUUGAUGUUAGCGAAUCAUAUGCCUGGUUUGUACAUUUUUAGAAUCAAUCUUUGGUAAAUAUGCUAGUAAAUCAUAUGUGCCUCCAUCGACUUUUGUAGCCUGUGGUAAAUAUCAUCUUUCGAAUAUGGAGAAUGGCAUCUAUUCCUUUAAGAUUGUAACAGGUCGAUCCCGAGCUUGCCAUGGCUGAAGCUGAUAAGGUGGGAGAUGAUGAGACUUCAAAGUCAUUUGGAAACAGAUCUCUCCAGACAAAGGCAUGGAGGAGGGUGGAGAUAAACAGAAUGGCCACCAUUGUCGAGGACAUGAAAGAGAGGACGAGUGCCAAACCCUUGCUCAGAGGACCAGGAAGAGUGCAAUGAAGAAACAAGUCCUGGAACACCCAUCGAACUUUCCGUAGAUCGUCUCCCAAGCUAUACUUGCAGCUGAUGGGGCAGCUA
This is a long non-coding RNA of Tarenaya hassleriana, 766 nucleotides long. RefSeq lists it as uncharacterized. NCBI's taxonomy places the organism in Eukaryota, Viridiplantae, Streptophyta, Magnoliopsida, Brassicales, Cleomaceae. The record is from RefSeq and is a predicted model, not a curated record. The transcript is spliced from 4 exons.